RNAcentral lists this unclassified non-coding RNA (331 nucleotides) under soil metagenome. RNAcentral's name for it is "partial contains 5.8S ribosomal RNA, internal transcribed spacer 2, and large subunit ribosomal RNA". The stretch from base 1 to 120 matches the Rfam family "5.8S ribosomal RNA", at positions 35 to 154 of the family's 154-position model. The record is from RNAcentral.
GAUGAAGAACGCAGCGAAAUGCGAUAAGUAAUGUGAAUUGCAGAAUUCAGUGAAUCAUCGAAUCUUUGAACGCACAUUGCGCCCCCUGGUAUUCCGGGGGGCAUGCCUGUUCGAGCGUCAUUUCACCACUCAAGCCUCGCUUGGUAUUGGGCAACGCGGUCCGCCGCGUGCCUCAAAUCGACCGGCUGGGUCUUCUGUCCCCUAAGCGUUGUGGAAACUAUUCGCUAAAGGGUGUUCGGGAGGCUACGCCGUAAAACAACCCCAUUUCUAAGGUUGACCUCGGAUCAGGUAGGGAUACCCGCUGAACUUAAGCAUAUCAAUAAGCGAAGGA